CCUACGGGGGGCAGCAGUAGGGAAUAUUGGGCAAUGGGCGGAGGCCUGACCCAGCCAUGCCGCGUGCAGGAAGACGGCGUUCUGCGUUGUAAACUGCUUUUAUACGGGAAGAAAAGGCCCAUGCGUGGGACAUUGCCGGUACCGUAUGAAUAAGCACCGGCUAACUCCGUGCCAGCAGCCGCGGUAAUACGGAGGGUGCAAGCGUUGUCCGGAUUUAUUGGGUUUAAAGGGUGCGUAGGCGGCCUGUUAAGUCAGCGGUGAAAGUUUAUGGCUCAACCAUGAAAUUGCCGUUGAUACUGUCGGGCUUGAGUGUCGAUGGGGUACAUGGAAUUUAUGGUGUAGCGGUGAAAUGCAUAGAUACCAUAAGGAACACCGAUAGCGAAGGCAUUGUACUUAUCGACAACUGACGCUGAGGCACGAAAGCGCGGGUAGCGAACAGG
RNAcentral lists this ribosomal RNA (440 nucleotides) under uncultured bacterium. Its description in RNAcentral is "bacterial SSU rRNA". It matches the Rfam family "Bacterial small subunit ribosomal RNA", at positions 338 to 776 of the family's 1533-position model. The record is from RNAcentral.